CCAGCUGCUCAGUCCCCGGCAGAGGCGGGAGCGGCGACGGCAGCGAGCGGGAGGAGCGAGCGCGCGUCCGGAGAGAAGAAAGAGCCGGCUGCCGAGGGCCGCGCCCGCUCCCCGCGCCCAGGCCGGGGCUGAGGUGCCCACCAAGGCAGGAUGGACUUUAAGUUAAAGGAGAAACAGUCUUGGAUCAUGUGGUGUUCUGGUUCAACUGUGCUGACCGGCAGGUGAAGACACGCCGAUCCCCCUUCUCCCUCUGGGAUCUGGCAGGACAGAAUCUCAGAACUGCACUGCCUGCUCACAGGUCAAUGCUGCCUCUCGGCACAGAGAGAAACUUCCAGGGAUUCAGGUAAAAGGCACGCUGCCCUUUGAACAUCUGGAAGUGGACUUCACUGAAAUGAAACCUCACCGACACUACCAUUACCUGCUGGUCAUAGUAUGUACGUUCUCGGGAUGGGUAGAAGCUUUUCCUACUCAGACUGAAAGAGCAUCAGAAGUAGCCUGGUGCCUGCUUAGGGAGAUAGUUCACAGAUUUGGAUUUCCUACCAGCAUUGGAUCUGACAAUGGCCCGGCUUUCGUAGCUGAUUUAGUAUAACAAGUAAGCAAAACUUUAAACAUCAAGUGGAAAUUACAUACAGCAUAUAGGCCCCAGAGUUCUGGGAUGGUGGAAGGAACCAACUGGACACUUAAAGUGACUCUCCAAGUGGAUCUUAGAGAUUGACUGCUCCUGGGUGGACCUGUUUCCGACUCAGGAUGAGUCAGGAUGACCCCACGGUCCCAUGGCUCUUCUCCAUACAAAAUUGUGUAUGGGAGGACCCCUCCCAUAAUAAAACAGGUGUCAACAAAUUUGCCUCAGGUAAGGGGAGAUGAGAUUUCACAGCAGAUGGAACAACCGGGUGAGGUAAUAAAUCAGGUAACUAAGUUUGUACAAGAAAGGGUGCCAUUUCCCCUUGGGGAACAGAUUCAUGAAUUUGUGCCCGGGGAUCAGGUAUGGUCAAGGACUGGAAACACAACUCCUCGGCCCCACACUGGAAGGGUCCAUAUACUGUUGUUCUAACCAGCCCGACUGUAGUUAAAGCUGCAGGUGUCACCCCCUGGAUCCACCACAGGAGGGUGAAGAGAGCAUACCACGCAGACCCCGAGGACACCGAGUGGACUACACAAAAGGACCCCACUGAUCCCCGUGAAACCAAGAUCAUCUCAAAGAAGAAAAAGAGAUGAAGCUCUACAAUCAACUGCUGCUAAAGGACUUGCUGGUAUCAUCGAGACUAACCAUAGUUUCAGUAUAAAUAGGGACCUGUGCUAUAAUUAAAGUUGAAUGUUGUGUAUAUAUUCCUGAUUUAUCUGGCUAUAUAUCAGCCACCCUGAUGACAUGAAAGGUCAGAUAAAAGUUAUGUCUGAUGAUAAUCUUCCUUUUUGGACUUCGGUCCUAUUUUGAGUGAAGGGUGAUUGGUAGAAAACUAUAUUUACCAUUGUUAUAGUUGCCUUGAUCUGCUUUGUGGACCCUUUAUUUUACAAUGUAUUAUGAACUUUGUAACCCAAAGGUUGAUGUCAUUCUCCCAAAUUGGAGGUAGGAGAGUCAGAGUGCAAUAUAUCCCUAUGAAUGAUGCUCAUACUAUGAGUUAAGAGCAUCAAGUGGGGGGAAUGAAGGAGGAAACAGACAGAACAGGCUCCAUCUUGAAAGCAGGACUCCAUCUUGGGCCAGACUG
Molecule: long non-coding RNA, 1703 nt
Organism: Cervus elaphus (red deer)
Lineage: Eukaryota; Metazoa; Chordata; Mammalia; Artiodactyla; Cervidae
Exons: 3
Source: RefSeq, a predicted model, not a curated record